AACAAGUUUUUCUCACUUUCUGUGUCUAGAAAACGAGAGUUUCUCUCUCUAAAAACCCUAACCUAAGCUAAAAUCUGCUAAUACAUCCCUCUCCCCCUUGAAAAUGUCGUACAAUUAGUAUAUAUACCAAGCAACGUAGUAAUCUCCGUCAAAAGAAAGUGUUCGCAGAACAGGUCGUCCCGGCCGGGACGGGGUGUCCCGGGCGGGAUGAGUGAGCUGGGCUAAAAUUGCAAAAGGUUCCAGUACCAAAAUCCUGGCCAGGGUGAAAUUCGUCGCGGGCGGGACGCCUCGUCGCGGCCGGGAUGGGUCCUGGUCGCGGCCGGGAUGAAUUUUCUCGCGGAGAAUCGUACAUACUCUUCUUCAAGUGGCCAUAACUUCUUCGUUACUCGUCCAAAUAAGGCGUGUGACCACUCGUUGGAAAGAUCUUGGAAUAAUAUUUCAUCACCAACUGGAAUCACAUGAAAAUAUUAAGAAUAAAAAUAGUUAUUGUCGUUUUAGUGUGGCUCUUGUGCACAAGUCUUGCAAAAACUCUUCCAAAUGGUUUUAUUUAAGCUCCUUUGCGCCCUUCCAUUCUUUGUGAGUGGCAUGUAGACGUGCAAGAUCCAAACCUACAACAUUAAACACAAGGAAGCAGUACCAAAUCCUAAAAAUGUGACAAAAUUAACUAAAAUUUACAAAAGACCUAUAACUAUAACAAUUAUCUAAAACUAAGCAAAAUAAGAUAGGAACUGUACAAUGAUGAUGGAAAAAAAUGAAAAUGGGAGGAAAAAGACACUUAAUAGUUGACAAAACUACCACUUAUCAAUGGGCUAGCAGUUAAAGGAGACGAGGAAGAGCUUGGCGAAAAAGAGUUAAAUUCAAUGCCGAAGUUUAGUCAUCCGGCAGUGAAUGGAGUGAGAAAUGAAGAUGAUGAGGUUAAUCUAUGCGGCACUCCUUUGUCCCUUACUUGUAAGGAUGCAGGAGCAGGAGCAGGAGCAGGCGUGACAUUUGUUGUGUUGUAUUGCUCUAAUAAUGGGGGAGAGUAGUAGCACCACUAUUGACAGAACUAAGUCUUUCAUACUCCUCUACUUUGGUUCAACAAAGUCAAGAUUCAAUAUGCUAUACGAAAAAACAUGAAAGCAAUUAAUCUGAAAUUAUUUGGAAUUCUUCCAUAAAGUUCAUGGCUCCUUAUAGUAUAAGUAUAUCCGAUCUGUACAUAUAUAUUUAAGUAUAUUAUCAUGCUAUUAAUCUAAAUUAAUUAUAAUUUAAUCUAGUCGAUCGAUCAUCAUGUUCCCUAUAUUUUGAAAUUAACAAGCUCCUACAUUACGUUUUUAUAUGAUCAUCCUUUUUAAUUUGAAGCUAUGAAUUCGGUUUAGUUAAAAUGUAAAAUACCAUAGGAAAUGGAUAGAACAAGUAGAAAUUAAAAUAUACAAUAAGAUAAUUAAAGAUAUAAUUAUAACACAAUAUAUUGGAUCAAAAUUAAUAAUAAUACUACAUCCUCAUCUUAUACACAAUAUAUUGGAUCAAAUUAAUAAUAAUAAUUACAUCCUUAUCUUAUACACAAUAUAUUGGAAAAGAUUAAGAAUUUAUAAGUUAGUAAAAUUCUAAUAUUACGUAAUAGUUUUAUUAGCCGUACUCCGUAGUUAGAAACCCGUGCGAUAUCACUACUAGUUACUCUGUAUUUUCAUAGAGGAAUUAGGAAGUACCUUUAGUUUCUUAUAUCAGAAAAUAAAAUUAAAAAAUCCUAAUUUUCGUUUGACCAAUAUAUAUAUAUAUAUAGGACCAGGUUCUGGUGAGAACCUCCCUUAAGAUAAGAACCAUCUUAUAAUGAGAACCUUUGAUAACCGUUGGAUUAAAACAAAACGGACAGUUGAGAUUAAAUCUCGCGAAUUUGGUUGCGCGGUUACUUUCUCUCUCCACCUCACAAGAAAUGUUAGUCUCUCUCUUCACCCCUCUAUACUCUACGGUUUCCUUCUGGUUCAUCGAAAUUUUGUCAACAAUUGCCCAAAGUCGAUCUCCAAUACGCAUUUUCUCUCUCCAAUUCUUCAAAUUGUUAUGAGAUUGUUUAGCUUCUGAGUCGAAUCUACAAAUCGAUUUCAAAAUCGGACUCUACAUUGUAUCAUUUGUUGAAUUUGCUGCCAAUUUUCUCAAAUUUAAAGUUGAAUUAGUCAAGAUUGUUGUUAAAUUUCGUGAUUCCAUUCCAAAUUUCUCAAAUAUAGAGACUGUCCUGCACUCGUUAUAUUCGCAGGUGUAUGAUGAAAUAAUGAAGCCUGUUUUCCCACUGAUAUUCCUAAAAAGCAACAUGUUUUGCAUAUGGUCAAACAGCAGGUGGUUUUGGGUUUGGUUGGGUCUGGCUAUGGGGUUCAAGUGCUAGUUUGCAGCCUAUUUAUGGUGUUGUGACAAGUCUGAUGUUGGUGUAGGUUGCUAGUCAAGCUCAAAGAUCUGGUCAAUGUGAGCAGUCAGUUGUGCCAUAGUUGACCUCCGUUGACUAUGUCGUUGGUUUGUUUUGUAAAUUAAAUCUCUCUAAAAGUAAAAUAAAAGAUAAUGGAACUUUGAUUUUAAUUUUUUCUUAAAUAUAAAGUCGAAACCUAUUAGCUCAAAUGGUAGAGCAAUGUGUCAUUGCACAUGGGUGUAGGUUCAAAUCCUACAUAGGUUGGUGACAUUCCAUAAAAAUUAUCACUUGAGUACUCCUCCGAUUGAGGAUAGAAUCACAGUACGGUUAUCAGAAAGCCAAGCAUUCCUAAGGAAAAUGGGAAAAUAUAGUCCAGGAAAGUAGCCAUCCUCAGACAUUACAACAGGAACCUAAAAUACUGAAACCAAACAAUUGUGACAUUAAUAGGGAACAUAUGGAAUCAUCACAUUCAUAAACAUCAGUAAGCCUUAAUAGUUUAUAAUGCCCUUAAGGAAAUUUCAACUACACUCAAAAUAUCUUCAUCAAUUUCACAAAUGCUGGGUAGUUGUGCCCAAAUAGUCUUUGUCAAUCUGUCAUAGUGAUUUAGCUACGUUACCACAAAAGCGCCA
Long non-coding RNA from Spinacia oleracea (spinach), 3000 nucleotides. RefSeq lists it as uncharacterized. NCBI's taxonomy places the organism in Eukaryota, Viridiplantae, Streptophyta, Magnoliopsida, Caryophyllales, Amaranthaceae. The transcript is spliced from 4 exons. The record is from RefSeq and is a predicted model, not a curated record.